CCUGUUUCCGCCUGAGAACUACGAGCACAAACGCUUAAAACUCUAAGGACUUGGCGGUGCCNUAAACCCACCUAGAGGAGCCUGUUCUAUAAUCGAUAAUCCACGAUCUACCCAACCACCCCUUGCCCAAACANGCCUACAUACCUGCCGUCUGCCAGCCCACCUAAAUGAGAGACCAAAAGUGAGCUCAAUAGUCGUCCCCACUAACAAGACAGGUCAAGGUAUAGCCCAUGGGGUGGAAGAAAUGGGCUACAUUUUCUAAUAUAGAAUAAACGAAAAAGGACAUGAAACCCGUCCUUGGCAGGAGGAUUUAGCAUAAAAUAGGACCAUACUUUUCAAGCCUAUUUUACAACGGGCCU
Molecule: ribosomal RNA, 359 nt
Filed under: Lyrurus tetrix (black grouse)
Lineage: Eukaryota; Metazoa; Chordata; Aves; Galliformes; Phasianidae
Description: partial 12S ribosomal RNA
Source: RNAcentral